CAAGAACAAACAAAUCUACACCUUAAACCAAACAACUUUAUGGAUGGGAGAAGAAGACCUUCUAGAGACUGUCUAUCAUUAGUCUGACAGACCGCCUAGUGCGGGCAUCUAUGAGGUUUAGCUAUCUUAAUGGUUUUUUUGUUAUUUUCUUAGUUUAAGUUCUGUGUAGAGACUGUUAUAAGCUUAGACAGUACACUAUAUUUGCAUUAAACUCUGUAUAGAAACUUUGUGGAUAAAAGUGUUUUCUUCAAUCUUGUUCUUUGAUUUUCUUGCUUGUUAUAUUGUUGAGAACAAACAAUUGACGCUGUAUGUGGGUACAAGAAAACAGAAAUCAAGAAGUUGAAGACAUGAUUAUCAAGUUUGACAUCGAGAAGUCUUUCAGGGAGAACAACUUUGAAUUAUGUAGAACGAAAAUGGAUGCUAUCUUGCUCCAACAAGAUUGUGUUGAUGCUAUGAAGGGUGAGGUAAACAUGACAGUGUCUAUGUCUCAGAAAGAUAAGACUGACAUGAUCAACAAAGUCAGGAGCGUCAUAAAUUUAUGUCUUGGUGAUAAGACCAGGCAGAUUCUCAAAAAUACUUUCUCUUCCUGAGUACAACUUUUCCCCUGUAGGAAGUCCUGGAAGGGAUUUGUUGCAUCAUUCUGUGACUGCACAGGCAAGAUUUUCUUCCUCGGGAAAAACCUCAAUUGGUCUUCCAAACCAAGAAACUAACAAUUCAGAAAAAGCAGUCAAGCAUUUGUGAUGAAAUCUCUAAAAAUAAAGUACAAGAAAUUAAGCCAGUGUCAAAUUUCUCCCAUGAUAUUGGUCCUAUUGAUACAUCUGAAGGCUGGUGUCCUAUUAGAGAUGAGAGAGCCACAGAAGGUACCAUGUUCAACUUCAAAGUAAAUGACCUAAGCUGUAGAUGCUGUGAUUAAAUUUCAGUUUGUAUUCAUGCUUAUAUACGGUUUUUUGGCUUAUCAUUUCUGAACUAUGAAGAAGAUAAUGUUGAAUCUGCAAAAGAGAAAAAUGAAUUGGAAUCAGAGCUGUUUCUAGUAUAGGAUCGAGUAACUUUACAGAAUACGCCUUCACACCUUAGUCCACACUUGUUCAGGUUUAAACGUGUGUGACUGGUCAUUCAUUUUCGGUGAUUUUUCCCGCCCGGUCCUAGUUACUUGGCCGUCUGACCAUGGCCACACAGUACCAGAUCCAAAUGGCUUCAUUAUAGGAAAGGACCAAAAAAUAGAUAUCUCAGAAAUUCUUGAUGGUGCAAGAUGUUCUGGAUGUUUGAAUCAGGAUGAGGGUAUAACAGAAGAGAACAAACUAUCAUCUCUGGCUAUGUUCUUAAUAGUCAAAACCAUAUCUUAAAAACAAGACCUUGAAACUUUUUGUUGCACUUGUUCUAUUGUCUCUAAACAAUAAACUAGAAGUAGAAACAGGAUGCUGGUUGUGAGGGUUCCAGAAAUCUACUCUUUAUCUAGAUAAUAAAAUGUUAUAAUUAAAUUUUCAUAUUAAUUCAAUAAAUUAAACUUUAUCCUUAUUUAAUGUUAUCUAUGUCAUUUUUUGUUUAUUUAGUAAGGCGGAGAAAGCUUCUCAAUACAAAAAUUUGAAUUUCUUCUUAUCUGAUACUAUUUUUCUAAUAACAAAAUUUUGAGCCUUGUGAGUGAAAGUUCAGUGAGUAUUCAAUUUGAGUUUAAGGACAAUUAGAACAACUUCCACUUGUAAGACUACUUACUCACUGUCUUUUGAUCAUACAAUGUUUAGAGGAAUUCCUAUGUGUGAGGAGGAAGGGAAGCAAAGAGGGGAUAAAAAUUGAUUAACAAGAACACUGGAGAGUUAUAGAGUUCUUCAAUUUGGUACAGUUUCUUUCAUCCUACCAGACUAAUUUGAUAUUGGAUAAUAUAUUGUGAAUAAGGAUACUCAAAUAAGGAACAAAAAGUAAAUGGGGAGGCAGUGGCAAUUGCAUCUUACAGAAAUGAAAAAUAUAGGUUUGUUUACAAUGACAAAGCACAGUCUUAUUUAGGGUGUGACUCACUUCACCUAUUGAAGGCCAAAGUUUGAUUUGCUGAUCCCAUUAGAAGGUUUUUUAAUUUUGUUUGUAUCAUGUUUGUAUAUUUGCUUUUUGGUUAGCCUAUUGAUUUCACGAAGUUAUAAAAUAGCGUACAAUCAGCCUUUUGUGGUUGGGAUGGGAACUGAGCAGAAAUAUGCACGA
Long non-coding RNA from Vigna angularis (adzuki bean), 2187 nucleotides. RefSeq lists it as uncharacterized. The record is from RefSeq and is a predicted model, not a curated record. Lineage: Eukaryota; Viridiplantae; Streptophyta; Magnoliopsida; Fabales; Fabaceae. The transcript is spliced from 4 exons.